UACGGGGGGGGCAAGCGUUGCUCGGAAUCACUGGGCGUAAAGGGUGCGUAGGCGGGUCUUUAAGUCAGGGGUGAAAUCCUGGAGCUCAACUCCAGAACUGCCUUUGAUACUGAAGAUCUUGAGUUCGGGAGAGGUGAGUGGAACUGCGAGUGUAGAGGUGAAAUUCGUAGAUAUUCGCAAGAACACCAGUGGCGAAGGCGGCUCACUGGCCCGAUACUGACGCUGAGGCAUGAAAGCGUGGGGAGCAAACAGG
RNAcentral lists this ribosomal RNA (253 nucleotides) under uncultured bacterium. RNAcentral describes it as "partial 16S ribosomal RNA". It matches the Rfam family "Bacterial small subunit ribosomal RNA", at positions 524 to 776 of the family's 1533-position model. The record is from RNAcentral.